UUUGAAAUCUGACCUUCGGGUCCGAGUUGUAAUCUGCAGAUGAGUCUUCCGGCAGAGCGCCGUCCAAGUGCCCUGGAACGGGUCGCCGGAGAGGGUGAGAGCCCCGUACCGACGCGCGCCGAGCCUCUGUGAAGCUCAUUCGAAGAGUCGAGUAGUUUGGAAAUGCUGCUCUAAUUGUGGGGUAAAUCUCCCAUAAGGCUAAAUACCGGCCAGAGACCGAUAGCGCACAAGUAGCGUGAGCGAAAGAUGAAAAGAGCCUUGAACAAGGGCGUCAAAAAGCAUGUGAAAUUGUUGUGGGGGAAGCGUUCGAUGCCAGACAUGGCGGCGGUUGGUUACCCGGCGUUCUUCGCCGGCGCACUCUGCCGUCGCCAGGCCAGCAUCAGUUCGGAUCGAGGCCUACUGCCAGUGGGAACGUGGCUCCUCCGGGAGUGUUAUAGCCCAUUGGUAACGUCUCGGACCGGACUGAGGACCGCGCUUCGGCUCGGAUGCUGGCGUAAUGGCCUCUAGCGACCCGUCUUGAAACACGGACCAAGGAGUUGACCUAGCGUGCGAGUGUUUGGGUGUCAAGCCCUUACGCGCAGUGAAAGCGAAUGCAGGUGGGAGCUUCGGCGCACCAUCGACCGAUCCUGAAGUUUACGGAUGGAUUUGAGUAAGAGCACGUUGGGUCUGACCCGAAAGAAGGUGAACUAUGCAUGAAUAGGGUGAAGCCAGAGGAAACUCUGGUGGAGGCUCGCAGCGGUUCUGACGUGCAAAUCGAUCGUCAAAUUUGUGCAUGGGGGCGAAAGACCAAUCGAACCUUCUAGUAGCUGGUUCCUGCCGAAGUUUCCCUCAGGAUAGCAGAGUUGAUCCUCAGUUUCAUGAGGUAAAGCGAAUGAUUA
Molecule: ribosomal RNA, 878 nt
Filed under: Phaeoisaria clematidis
Lineage: Eukaryota; Fungi; Ascomycota; Sordariomycetes; Pleurotheciales; Pleurotheciaceae
Description: LSU rRNA
Rfam family: Eukaryotic large subunit ribosomal RNA
Source: RNAcentral